RNAcentral lists this ribosomal RNA (258 nucleotides) under uncultured bacterium. Its description in RNAcentral is "partial 16S ribosomal RNA". It matches the Rfam family "Bacterial small subunit ribosomal RNA", at positions 524 to 776 of the family's 1533-position model. The record is from RNAcentral.
UACGUAGGUGGCGAGCGUUAUCCGGAAUUAUUGGGCGUAAAGCGCGCGCAGGCGGUUCCUUAAGUCUGAUGUGAAAGCCCACGGCUCAACCGUGGAGGGUCAUUGGAAACUGGGGAACUUGAGUGCAGAAGAGAAGAGCGGAAUUCCACGUGUAGCGGUGAAAUGCGCAGAGUAUCAGGAGGAACACCAAUGGCGAAGGCAGGCUCGCUUGGGUACGUGACUGACGCUGAGGCGCGAAAAGCGUGGGGAGCGAACAGG